RNAcentral lists this ribosomal RNA (1422 nucleotides) under uncultured Bordetella sp. RNAcentral's name for it is "partial 16S-23S ribosomal RNA intergenic spacer". It matches the Rfam family "Bacterial small subunit ribosomal RNA". The record is from RNAcentral. Lineage: Bacteria; Pseudomonadati; Pseudomonadota; Betaproteobacteria; Burkholderiales; Alcaligenaceae.
GGUUCGAUCAUGGCUCAGAUUGAACGCUGGCGGGAUGCUUUACAAUACGCAAGUCGAACGGCAGCACGGACUUCUGUCUGGUGGCGAGUGGCGAACGGUGAGUAACAUCGGAACGUGCCUAGUAUGGGAGACCGCGAAAGCGUAGCUAAUACCGCAUACGCCCUUCGGGGGAAAGCGGGGGACCUUCGGGCCUCGCAAUUAGAGCGGCCGAUAUCGGAUUAGCUAGUUGGUGGGGUAACGGCUCACCGCGACGAUCCGUAGCUGGUUUGAGAGGACGACCAGCCACACUGGGACUGAGACACGGCCCAGACUCCUACGGGAGGCAGCAGUGGGGGAAUUGGACAAUGGGGGAAACCCCCGAUCCAGCCAUCCCGCGUGCGAUGAAGGCCUUCGGGCUGUAGCAAUGCCGUGAAAGUGAACGGCACGGGAUAAUACCCCGUGCAACUGACGGUACCUGCAGAAUAAGCACCGGCUAACUACGCCAGCAGCCGCGGUAAUACAAAAGCAGACCAGCUCAUUGGCGCGUGCAGGCGGUUCGGAAAGAAAGAUGUGAAAUCCCAGAGCCUUAACUUUGGAACUGCAUUUUUAACUACCGAGCUAGAGUGUGUCAGAGGAAGGACUACAGGUAGUAGUGAAAUUGCGCGUAGAUAUGCGGAGGAACACCGAUGUAGAAGGCAGCCUCCUGGGAUAACACUGACGCUCAUGCACGAAAGCGUGGGGAGCAAACAGGAUUAGAUGUUCUGGUAGUCCACGCCCCAAACGAUGUCAACCAGCUGUUGGGCUUUCUGGGUCGGUGGCGUAUUAACGGCAGUGAAGUUGACCGCCUGGGGAGUACGGUCGCAAGAUUAAAACUCGUAUGAAUUGACGGGGACCCGCACAGCGGUGGAUGAUGUGGAUUACCCGAUAACGCGAAAAAAACCUUACCUACCCUUGACAUGUCUGAAUCCCGAAGAGAUUUGGAGUGCUCGCAAGAGAACCGGAACACAGGUGCUGCAUGCUGUCGUCACACAAAUGGGAGAUGUUGUUGUCUGCGGUCGGCGCAACCCUCACAAUAGCGGCGAAAGGCAUUUCAUGAGGUCGCCGUACAAACCGGAGGCAGGGAUGACACCAAGUCCUCAUGGCCCCCAUGGUGGGUAGGCCUACACGUCAUACACGGUCGGGACAGAGGGUCGCCAACCCGCGAGGGGGAGUCAAUCCCAGAACCUGAUCGUAGUCCUCGAUCGUAGUCUGCACCCCGAACGUGGCGCUGAAUCGCUGGUAAUCAUGUGAUCAGCAUGUCGCGGUGAAUACGUUCCCGGGUCUUGUACACACCGCCCGUCACACCAUGGGAAGGGUUUUACCAGAAGUAGUUAGCCUAACCGUAAGGAGGGCGAUUACCACGGUAGGAUUCAUGACUGGGGUGAAGUCGUAAUGAAGGUGCAG